UACCACUUUAUCUCUUUCUUUGUCCAAGCCAAUCUCUUCCCUCCCUUCCUUUUACAGUGCCAUCUUUUCUUCUUACUCAAUAUUAUCAAACCAAACCACAAAUCUAAUUAAGCGGUCUUGAUGCCAAAAUCUCUGCUCCUGGAGAAAUGCAUCAUGCAGCACAUCUAGGUGGAAAGUUUUUUUUGUGUGUGUGGAAGACCAACUCAGAGCAGUCCUGUGACAAAUCAUACACUGCUUUCUCCAUCCUCACAGUUCUGUAAGGAAGGCGGAAAACCAGGCCAGGAGAAAGAAAAGAAAGAAAAUGAUCUCUUAUUGAAUAGUUCCAAUAAACCAAGCACUGGACUAGAUGUUUUUUAAGUAAAUGUUCCAUUUAAUUUUCCAAAGAACGUUAUAAAUUUGGUAAGAUUCUUCCUGUUUAAAAAAUUAAGAAAGAGGAUCAAAGAAGAGAAGUUUCUGCCAACGAGGCAUAGUAGUGGCUCAGAAAAAAAUAACUUUGAAAUAUUUUGCUUUUCACAUUUCUAAAUCUGGCUUUUUAGAAUUUCUAGGCCAAGAUGUAUUGUAUUGAAACUAGUAAGAAUGACAGCUGUCACCCCACUUAGUGCCUGUCAUCUACCCAUCUACCUACUUACCUUCUACCUAUGUCUUCUUUACUCAUUGUCAUACUCUGUGCUAUAAGUGUAGAGUGAACCCACUGGCACUUGUUUACCAUAACAAGUGCCAUUUCUGAAGCUUGGUAUCCAGCAAGAUACUAAUAGAUGUCCUCUAAAAAGUCAGUUCUGUGAUAAAAAAAAAAUAUGUGAGAAGUACUAGAUUAAACAAAUUUAAACUGGUUGCUUUGUUGCAU
Molecule: long non-coding RNA, 844 nt
Filed under: Canis lupus familiaris (dog)
Lineage: Eukaryota; Metazoa; Chordata; Mammalia; Carnivora; Canidae
Description: lncRNA (ENSCAFG00000046721.2)
Source: RNAcentral